AAUAAGAACUAAAAUCUAUAUUACAAAAUUUGGCAAUUGAUAUAUCCACAAAAACUAAAGAUAUACCAGUACGAAAAGCAGCAGUCCCUUGAUUAUGGAGGGAAAUCAAUGUGAGACUUACAGACCUCCUAUAAGAGAAGUUCCAUUGACGUUGAAAGGUAGAAAGAACUAUGACAGGUACUUCAAGCCAAGAGCAGUCUCAAUCGGUCCUCUACACCAUGGUAAAGAUGAGCUUGCGCCUGCGGAGAAGUUCAAGGAAAGACUAGUUGCAGAAUUCAUCAAAGCUAGUGGCCGGACAAAAGACUUCCUUCACCAAAUGAUUGAGAAAGACAUUGAGCGCUUCAAGGACUGUUAUGAGAAGAAGGUGAUAAGAAAAUACAGCAAUGAGAAGCUGGCACAAAUACUCUUCGUGGAUGGUUGUGCAGUCCUGCAAUUCAUACACUACAAAAAAUUGGAGAAAUUAAAACAACACAAUAUAAAGAAUGAUCUUGCAGCUUUCGCAGCGCAAGAUUUAUUCUUGCUAGAGAAUCAGCUUCCUUUCGAAGUUCUGGACUUGUUGAUGAACAAUAGUGAACAUGGUGUCGAUUUGAGGGAAUCCAUCCAACAUUUCGUGGAUAUGAACAUGGAGGUGCAUCCAAAAGAGGGGCUGAACCUCUAUUCACAACCCACUCAUCUUCUUGACCUUUUGCGCACCAGACUCCUCCUUCCCCACGAAGGAAACCUUGACGUUGCUAUAGAUAUACCAGUAAGCAAGUGGCCUACAUUUCGUAACAUCAUGGAGCUUAAAGCUGCAGGGAUUCAUGUGAAGCGUAGUAACACGAGUUGCUUGAAAGAUACUCAUUUCAAAAGCAGAUUCUUAAAAGCAAUAUUGGAGCUGCCAUCCAUGAUAGUGGACGACUCAACCGCACCUAAAUUUUUGAAUCUUGUGGCAUAUGAAAUGUGUCCAGAAUUCCCUAAUGAAUUCGAGGUCAGCUCCUAUCUGUGCUUCAUGGAUUCUCUCAUUGAUCAUCCUGAAGACGUGAAGGAGCUCAGGAAGGCUAAUAUACUUCACAAUUUUCUUGGAAGCGAUGAAGAAGUUUCUACUUUGUUCAAUGAGAUAAGCACUGACUUGGUGCCAAAUCCUAAUGCAUAUUCAUUCGUCAAACAGCAAAUCCAAUUGCACUACGACAAAACAUGGAAGACUUGGAUAGCUCAAGGGUAUCAUGAUCAUUUCAGUAGCCCCUGGACUUUCCUUGCCUUCAUGGCUGCGAUAAUAGGACUCAUUCUAAGUUUCAUUCAGGCUUUGCCUUCAUUGAAACCUGAUCAUUGCUUGAAGGUUUGCACUAAUCAUCCAUAAUUUAAGGGGUGUUUGCUGUCUUUGUCCUGUUAGUUCUCUGUAAAAAGGGAAAAAGCAAUUUCCUCCCUUCCAUAUAUAUAUAUAUAUAUGUGUG
Molecule: unclassified non-coding RNA, 1430 nt
Filed under: Hevea brasiliensis (rubber tree)
Lineage: Eukaryota; Viridiplantae; Streptophyta; Magnoliopsida; Malpighiales; Euphorbiaceae
Source: RNAcentral